RNAcentral lists this ribosomal RNA (330 nucleotides) under Triticum aestivum (bread wheat). Its description in RNAcentral is "partial small subunit ribosomal RNA". The record is from RNAcentral. Lineage: Eukaryota; Viridiplantae; Streptophyta; Magnoliopsida; Poales; Poaceae.
AUGCACAAUGUCGUAAACAAAACAAUGUAUGCACUAAAUAAGAGAUGUUGGCUGCAUGUAGAAACAACCUAUAAUUCUUAUCAAUCAUGCUUUUCAGGAUUGUUGUGUUGCGUGGUUCGAGCUGCAGCGUAUGGCAUUAUUGGUGUGACAGUGUGGUUGUUUCUCAGUGCACGACAAUUGCUCCAUGGGAAUUACUACGGCGAAGUACUCUCAAAGUCAUUUUUAGCACUACACGUAAAAUUAUUUGGUUUUGUAAUAUUUACAAAGGGCAAUCUUUCAAAUGUAUAUUUUAGAGAAGUACAAAAAAUUAGUCAUUACAUGAAGAUAUAA